Molecule: long non-coding RNA, 473 nt
Organism: Amphimedon queenslandica
Lineage: Eukaryota; Metazoa; Porifera; Demospongiae; Haplosclerida; Niphatidae
Exons: 3
Source: RefSeq, a predicted model, not a curated record
UCUCUGCUGGUUUCUUUCAUGAAUUGGAUACCGUCCUCAGCUUUUGAUUUGUUUUGCAGUAUGUUCUCUGGCCCCUGUACAACAGUACCUUUGGAUAGCUAUCAUUACAGAUACCAGCUCUUAGGUUUGUCUCUACUUACUGAUUCAACAAACGUUUGAUCAGGAAGUAACCGAAUAAUAUACUUCACUGUAGUCUGUCUCGAUGCCUCAAGUAAUAUAUGAUAAAGUGGUUGAAGUGAAAGAAAGGGUUUGUUUGGUGAGAAGUGACUGUCACAUGAACCUGCAGUGCACUGUAGUUACCGGGUCUACUGGAGAAAAAGUACAUGUGUGGGAAGAUAUAUAGAUAAGGACCAGUUAGUAAAGGACUUACAAUAUCUGCUAGAGGAGGGGAUUAAUAAGUACAUGUACCAGAAAAUGUAAUUUAUGAAAAUAUGGUGGCAUGUUUUCUGUUAAAGAAUGAAUCAAUAUGUAAA